RNAcentral lists this ribosomal RNA (643 nucleotides) under uncultured Actinomycetes bacterium. RNAcentral's name for it is "bacterial SSU rRNA". It matches the Rfam family "Bacterial small subunit ribosomal RNA", at positions 232 to 885 of the family's 1533-position model. Lineage: Bacteria; Bacillati; Actinomycetota; Actinomycetes. The record is from RNAcentral.
CGCGGCCUAUCAGCUUGUUGGUGAGGUAACGGCUCACCAAGGCAUCGACGGGUAGCUGGUCUGAGAGGACGAUCAGCCACACUGGGACUGAGACACGGCCCAGACUCCUACGGGAGGCAGCAGUAGGGAAUCUUGCGCAAUGGGCGAAAGCCUGACGCAGCAACGCCGCGUGGGGGAUGACGGCCUUCGGGUUGUAAACCUCUUUUAGCAGGGAAGAAGCGAAAGUGACGGUACCUGCAGAAAAAGCACCGGCUAACUACGUGCCAGCAGCCGCGGUAAUACGUAGGGUGCAAGCGUUGUCCGGAAUUAUUGGGCGUAAAGAGCUCGUAGGCGGUUUGUCGCGUCUGCUGUGAAAAUCCGAGGCUCAACCUCGGACCUGCAGUGGGUACGGGCAAACUAGAGUGCGGUAGGGGAGAUUGGAAUUCCUGGUGUAGCGGUGGAAUGCGCAGAUACCAGGAGGAACACCAAUGGCGAAGGCAGAUCUCUGGGCCGUAACUGACGCUGAGGAGCGAAAGCGUGGGGAGCGAACAGGAUUAGAUACCCUGGUAGUCCACGCCGUAAACGGUGGGAACUAGAUGUGGGGUCCGUUCCACGGAUUCCGUGUCGCAGCUAACGCAUUAAGUUCCCCGCCUGGGGAGUACGG